This 468-nucleotide ribosomal RNA is filed under the name uncultured bacterium. Its description in RNAcentral is "partial 16S ribosomal RNA". It matches the Rfam family "Bacterial small subunit ribosomal RNA", at positions 28 to 507 of the family's 1533-position model. The record is from RNAcentral.
GACGAACGCUGGCGGCGUGCUUAACACAUGCAAGUCGAACGGAAAGGCCCUGCUUUUGUGGGGUGCUCGAGUGGCGAACGGGUGAGUAACACGUGAGUAACCUGCCCUUGACUUUGGGAUAACUUCAGGAAACUGGGGCUAAUACCGUAUAGGAUCUCCUGCUGCAUGGUGGGGGUUGGAAAGUUUCGGCGGUUGGGGAUGGACUCGCGGCUUAUCAGCUUGUUGGUGGGGUAGUGGCUUACCAACGCUUUGACGGGUAGCCGGCCUGUGAGGGUGAACGGGCACAAUGGGACUAAGAUACGCACCAGACUCGUACGGGAGACAGCAGUGGGGAAUAUUGCACAAUGAGCGGAAGCCUGAUGAAGAAACGCCGCGUUCGGGAUGACGGCCUUCGGGGUGAGAACCGCUUUAGGCUGUGACGAAGCGGGAGUGACGGUAAUGGGUAAAGAAGCACCGGCUAACUACGUG